RNAcentral lists this long non-coding RNA (206 nucleotides) under Lathyrus oleraceus (garden pea). RNAcentral's name for it is "Pisum sativum (pea) long non-coding RNA (PSAT_LNC038634)". The record is from RNAcentral. Lineage: Eukaryota; Viridiplantae; Streptophyta; Magnoliopsida; Fabales; Fabaceae.
GGGAGAUGGAGAGACUAUCCUAGAACAUAAAGUAAAAUCUAGAGAGGAAAGAUCUAACCAAAAAAUAACAAUCUUUACGACAUGAGUCAAGCAAUAAUUCCCUCAUUUGGAUUAAGCCUCAAGCAAGCCAAAUAAGCAAAUAAUAAUCCAUGUGCCAGAUGAAACCAAAAUAACCAAGCCAAGUCUUCAAAAGAAACCCAAAGUCA